RNAcentral lists this ribosomal RNA (422 nucleotides) under uncultured delta proteobacterium. RNAcentral describes it as "bacterial SSU rRNA". It matches the Rfam family "Bacterial small subunit ribosomal RNA", at positions 9 to 419 of the family's 1533-position model. The record is from RNAcentral. Lineage: Bacteria; Deltaproteobacteria.
GAGUUUGAUCCUGGCUCAGAGCGAACGUUAGCGGCGGGCCUAACACAUGCAAGUCGAGCGAGAAAGUGGCUUCGGCCAUCAGUAAAGCGGCGGACGGGUGAGUAACACGUAGGUAAUCUUCCCUUGAGCGGGGGACAACGAGCCGAAAGGCUCGCUAAUACCGCAUACGUUCUCCGAGACUCCGGUCUUGGAGAGGAAAGCUAGGCAGCAAUGUCCGGCACUCGAGGAGGAGCCUGCGUCGCAUCAGCUAGUUGGUGGGGUAACGGCCUACCAAGGCGAAGACGCGUAGCUGGUCUGAGAGGAUGAUCAGCCACACUGGGACUGCGACACGGCCCAGACUCCUACGGGAGGCAGCAGUGGGGAAUAUUGGACAAUGGGCGCAAGCCUGAUCCAGCCACGCCGCGUGAGUGAUGAAGGCCUUC